UGAGACUAACCUGUGCUAAACUGAAAAUG
RNAcentral lists this non-coding RNA (29 nucleotides) under Mus musculus (house mouse). The record is from RNAcentral. Lineage: Eukaryota; Metazoa; Chordata; Mammalia; Rodentia; Muridae.